Molecule: non-coding RNA, 366 nt
Filed under: Saccharomyces paradoxus
Lineage: Eukaryota; Fungi; Ascomycota; Saccharomycetes; Saccharomycetales; Saccharomycetaceae
Source: RNAcentral
UAGGAAAGUCAUAAAUAUAUAAAUUAUAUUAUAUAAUUUAUAUAAUAAUAAAUAAAUAAAUUAAUUAUUUAAUUAUAUAUUUUUUAUAUAUAAUAUAAAUAUAUUAAAUAAAAAUCAUAAAUUAUAAUAAAUAAUCUAAAUAAUAAAAAUAUCCCCCGUGGGACCAACCCUGUGAACAGCAGGGUUGGCGCCCGCGGGGAUUAUAUAAAUUAAUAUAAUAUUAAUAAAGUAAUUAAUAUAAAUAAAUAAUAUGAAAAUAAAACUUAAUAAAUAUAUAUAUAUAAUUCAUAUAUAUAUAUUAAUAAAAAUAAUAUAUAUAUAUAUAUAUGAAAUAGUUAUAUUAUUAUUAUACAGAAAUAUGCUUAA